Non-coding RNA from Nothobranchius furzeri (turquoise killifish), 12243 nucleotides. The record is from RefSeq and is a predicted model, not a curated record. Lineage: Eukaryota; Metazoa; Chordata; Actinopteri; Cyprinodontiformes; Nothobranchiidae.
CCCCCCCCCCACCUCCAUCAUCUUCUCCAUUUAGCUCGCUGAGAUUUCUUCUUGCUGGAUGCGUACGGAUCGUGGCACCAUCCCAGCGGUUGAUCUGAGCACGGCUGGUCUUACAAGCUUUUAACACUCCUAAAGAGAAACUCUGGACUGUUUGGUAUUUACUGGACAUAACAAGGCCUUUGAUGUAGCCAGUGUUCUUACUCACCAGAAGCAUCAACAUUUAAUGAGACCUGCUAUUUGCUUCUUUUAGGAGCCAUGAUUUUUUUUUUGAUAAAAGCAAAUUGUGUUCACCGGUAGAGGUGGUCAGGGGUUCGGCGUCACCUGCGCGUGUUCUCUGUGAUGCACCGCUGCAGCCGAGCCCUUUGUGUGUGUGACGUGACGUGUUCAUUAAAACAGACCCUCUUAAUCAGCACCACACAUGUCAUGGGAGCACAGAGCCUGCAGCUAAAAACCGGUGCAUAAUUUAUAACUGCAGGUCAGGCUGUGCAAUGAGUGUGUAUUAUGUCAACAAAGAUGCACUGCUCUCCCGUCAUUCUGUAUUUACUUUACACCUUGAUGCAUUUUGAAUGCAAAACUUGAACAAAACCCUUCAGACGAGACUUUAAAAUAAUAAUAAUAAAAUCUCAGCUCACAAUACAUAUUUAGUGGCUUCGUGUUCAAAUGAGAUCCUGACGGAGGCACCUUUUUUUCCCCGUUUGUCAGUGUGAUGGAGAGAACGUGUCACAGUGUGACUCUGCAGGUGUUUAAACUGUGGUGAUGUAAUUAGUCUCAAGGGGAAUAGAAACAAGAGCUCCACAGUCCUUGAUUUGAUCCCUUGGUUAUUGAUUUCUCAGUCUGCUUCUAACAGAAAUAAUUGCCACAUGUAAUGUAUUAUUCAAUUACAAGACACUGCUCUCAAGUUUGGGUUUGAUGGUCCUUUUUGAAUCCCUGAGACCUAUAGAUAAUUCAACACUGUCAGCCCAUUAAGCAGCGCGAAUAUUAAAAGGUAUGCGUUAAUCCUGCCUAUUUAUUAGAGACGGCGACAUUCAGCAAAACUUGAAACUUUCCCCAUUUUCUUCCUUUGUAUAGUUGAAGGGAGUGGGCUUAACUCUGGUUCAGAUUCAGAGCCGCUCUUAUUUUGAAAAUGGUUUUACAGACAAAAACAGGAAACACUGAGAUGCAUGUCUGUUUAUAGGAGGAUCUUUGUUGGCACCUUUGUUCGCACAGGCUGAAAACGGCCCGUCAAGACACGAGGGUUUGCGGGCAAAAUUCCCCAAAUAUAAACACUUUCACGCCUGAAAACAGGAGGAGGUUCAGAGAUAAUCUGUAUUGACGACAAAAUUAAAGCUAUUCAAAGUCUGUAUGACAUCAGGAUGACAAACGUUGGUCUGAUUUAUCGGUGCGUCGGCCACAAAUCUGCCGGAGAGACAUUUAUUCCUAUUUAAUAGAAAGCCCUGGAACCUUCACUCAUGAAAAAUGAAAGGCUUUCAAAGGUCUGGAGGCCUACGAUUAUUUUAUUUCAAGGAAAGUUGGGCCGAUCUCUUCUGCAAAACAGAAAGCCGUGGUCGUGCUCAUAGCAGGAGUCAGACCUGGCCAGCAGACACAGAUUCACGUCAACCAUGGGUGAUUGCCAAAGAAACGGCGGAUUCUCAGUGCGAAUGCAAAGUCAGGUAAGCCUUCCUUAUUUACUUGAUGUUCACGAUAACAAUAUGGCUUAGUGGAUUUUAAACUUGAUGUUUUAAAAACCCUAAAUAACAAAUGCCCAAUCACAAUGACUUACCAUGAACAAACUACUGCAGGAAACCAGGCUUUCUUUGGAGCGUCUGGGUUGCCAACAACCAUCUCUUUCGUUUCCCGUGGUCGUUUACGGAGGAAAACAAUGAAAAAGUAACUUUUUACCAAGCCUCCAACGACCGCACAGCUAGAGUGAACCGUCUGCUGUGAUAAAUCUUCAUCCAAACGUGCAAAACAAACAAACAUUGACGUGAUGAAAUAGCCUCCUAGCACAGUAGGACUGAAAGAUUGUUCUUUAUUUUCCAAAAGAACUUUAAUACACACCAAGAGUCACUCAACACAUACACAUUUUUUUCACUCAGCUUGCACUCUUUGUGUUAAGUCUGAGUUUUUGUCCAAGUUUCUGUUUACCAUACUGACCAAAGCAGUGGUGUGGACUCGAGUCACACUUGAGUCAUUAUUUUAAUGACUUCUGACUUGACUUGAUGAAAUCUAUGAAGUGACUUGAUUGACUUGACUCGGACUUGAACACCAAUGACUUGCGACUUGAAUCGACUUGCAUCUGUUGACUUGAUGAUGACUUGAGCAUAUUUGAUAUUUUAGCACAAAAGUGGCUCGACAUGGACAAAAAUCAUAAAUCAUUCUUCGGUCUGGGUUUGAUCUUGUACUGCUGAAUGCAGCAGCACUUUGUUUACAAUCAGUUUCUGUUGCACUUUCUGCUGUUUGAGCAAAUAAAUGAAGCUUUAUUUCUGGAAUUUAUUUAUUAUCAUUGUCAUGAAAUUGAAGCUGGACAGAUGACUUGAUUAUGACUUGGAAAUUCAAAGUUAAGGACUUGGACUUGACUUGGACUUCCACAUCAUUGACUUUGGACUCAACUUGGACUUGGUUGUUUUUGACUUGACUCGAGACUUGAGUUGAAAGACUUGUGACUUACUUGUGACUUGGUCGCACCUCUGGGCCAAAGUACCCAAGACUUACGUUGGGUAUAAAUAUACAGGACGUUCAAGUAGUUGAGCAGCAAACUUUCAUGAACACAUCGAAAAUACUUUUACAAGCUUAUUUUGCAUUGAAAUGUCAAUGAAAUGUUUGAGUUUAUCAAAUGGUUCCAAUAGCCAAUCACAUGUUAUGGGUCAUAGAUAAACCUUAGAGCAGGGGUGUCCAAUCCUGGUCCUUGAGGGCCGGUAUCUAGCACGUUUUCGUUUUAACCUGCUUCAACACACCUGAUUUCAAUCAGCAGGUGAUUAACAGGCUUCUGCAGAGCCUGGUGAGCUGCUGCACAGGCGAUUCAACCAGCUAAUCAAGCGUAUUGAAGCAGAAAAACCACAAAACCUGCUGGUUAUCUUCUUCCGGCGCUCACAGGGAGCAAACGCUUCUGCCUUUUCCCCCCUUAUCUGUGUUUUCCCAAGGCUCUUUUUUUUUUGUCCCGUCUGCCUACAGAGCGCUUCUCUGCAUUUCCUCUGCAAUCACCUUUUUUUUUCAACAUGGACUUAAUUAAUUGGUCAUUCAACGCGAUUGAUAAGAUUUUUUUCUACAAUGAGGACGGAGGAGGGGGCUCACGCUUGUCCUCAGGGGACACAUGCAGCGGGAUAUAUGUUCGAUUCCUGGAAGAAGUGGAAUAUCAUCUGUCUCUCUCAGCUGUCCAUUGAGGACCUCGAAGAUAUGUGGAUAUUUGGCCUGAUGAUCGUUGGAUUUCUUCUGAUUGGAGUGGGAGGAUAUCUGGCUUUCCGUAAAAUUGGGAUGACGGGAGCGAUUGGAAGGCGACCCGCAACCAUGGACGGCACCGUCCGUGUGGAUACCUCACAGACUGGGACGUUGCUCGAGGCGAAUCGCAAGCUGGACAAUGUCUUAGCUGCGUUACCGGUGUUAGCGUGCAGGAUUGAUAACAUCUCGGAAAGGGUCACCGGACGGUGUGGAGAUGUUUAAUCACUGAAUUGGCUUCAAUGGAGGACUUGAAUGAUCAAUACAGACUUAAGGCAGAGAGGAAAAAUUAUCUCUGUCUGACCCAAAACAAAGUUCUGUUAUCGAAUCUGACGCCAUAAGCAGCCUUGGAGUUGCAUGCAAAACCCCCACGCUGGAAGGAAUGCAGACAAAUGCUGUGAAUCUCUAUCCACCCACCCCCCCGCCUUCAGAUUGAGGUCUCCACCGAGGUCAUCAAGCUGAAGGACUCACUGCUCACUGUGCUUCCCCAUGACCUCCCUCCCACCUGCGGAGCCAGCUGGUUGAGCGCCAAACAGGCUGCCCCCGCUGAGGAACCAGGAUCCCAGCCCCUCCCCCCUACCUACCGGGUCUCAUGUUGUGAACUGUGACGUUUGUUGCUUACAUGUCGGGUGUUUUUUUGCAUUGGAGUGCUACACCCUGCUGGUGUAACCCUGUUAAUGCCUUUUUUUUUCUCCCUCCCUGAACUUCCCUCAUGUAACACCCUCUUCAUCUAUCUAUUAAGGUAGCGCGACUCAUGUUGCGAAUGACCGCAGUCACCAAUUCUUGUUAUGUGUCUUACCCACGUAUGUCUGAUCUUUGAAUUGUGUGUGCUGAAACUGAAUUUCAUUUCUCUGUAUGUCCUGCACAUGUGGUAGAAUAUGACAAUAAAUGACUUUGGUUACCGGCCCUCCAGGACCAGGAUUGGACACCCCUGCCUUAGAGCAACUUCAUUUAAGAGAGGCAGAUAAAAGCUAGUUUAAAAUAUCUUCAAAAGAUUCUCAUGUAAAAUAUAUGAAAAUUAUAUGUUACAAGUUUUCAUGAAUAUUUCGGCCAAAGUACUUCCUUUCAUCGAAAGAAGCCAGUUGAGGUGGCUCGGGCAUCUGGUCAGCAUGCCUCCUGGACGCCUCCCUGGUGAGGUUUUCCAGGCACGUCCAACCAGGAGGAGGGCUAAAGGAAGACAGGACACACUGGAGGGAUGCUUCUCGUAUGGCCAGGGAACGCCUUGGGAUUCCCCCGGAAGAGCUGGCCCAGGUGGCUGGGGAGAGGGAAGUCUGGACCUCUCGACUUAGGCUACUGCCCCGCGACCCGACUCCGGAUAAGCGGAUGAAAAUGGAUGGAUAUUUCAGCAAAAUUAUGAAAUUCCAGUCAGAAAUGCUGCAAAGACAAUUAAUGCAGAAUACAUUUUCUGCAAAUAAUCAUCAAAUUGUAGCUAAAUAACAAUGUCAUGGAAAUGUAUGGUAGUGUAAAGGUUUAUAGACAAACAUUUCCAUGAACAGUUUUUUUUUUGUCUUUCUGAGAUUUGAAUUGGUACAAGAUUCAGCAACCUGUCAUGUUGUGGAGAUGGAAACGGUCCCAAAGGCAACAGAGCAGGCACAGGGUUCAGGUUGGCAGGUUUUAAAUAAACAGUUAAUUUGAAUUGUCCUUCCCUUAAGGGUGGCACCAAAUGCCCAACACAGGAAUGAAACACAAAAAGGAGUGGGGACAGGAACACAGGAUGCUGGAGCUCCAUGGAUGGAGGCAGGAAUGCUAGAAGGUGGAACUCUUUGGGCAGAUCAAGUGUGGCAACACGGCUGGGGCUCCUAGACAGGGUGACACAGCUGGGGCCUCAGGGCAGUACGGCUGAAGUCUAAGGGCAGGGUGGCAUGGGCCCCCAGGAAGGGUGACAUGACUCUGAAGAUGGCUGGAGCUCAGCUGGGGCCUCUGGGUGCAGCAACAGUGACCCCAGUCUGGGUGAGCAGCAGAGGUGCAGAGGUCUCCGACCACGUGGGAACACAUGGGAUGUAUCGGAUUGCUCUCGGUGCUCUCUCAUAUAUCUUCACUACUCACCAGAGAAACAAAAAAAUAAAAACUCCAACCUGCUCACCGCUGGGUCCUUUGUGGUCAGAUCCUUCUGUCUGGUAUCAUGUCCCCUUAUUAUUAGGUUACCCUGCAUACAGUUUAGCUAUCAGGCAACAUUUAGUAAGAGAGCAAUUAACUAAUUAAGUUUUAUAUCUGGUAAUGUGAUAUUUGUGAUACUAUUUAACUGAUGGUAAUAAUAUUUUACCUCCCCACUGUCUUCAUGGGUGACCCCGCAAAGAAAGUUGACCAUUGAGCAGAAUUGAUGGUUUAUCCCUUGAGGUGGCAGGGGUGAGGUGGUGCUCACUCCUCCCCCCAGCCACGUGGACCCCAAGGGAUAAACUAUUAAUCCUGCUCAAUGGUCAACUUUCUUUGCGGGGUCACCCAUGAAGACAGUGGGAGGGAUACUAAAAAUAAUAUAUACUAAUAUUGAAGCUAAAUAUGUGAAUUAGUCUUGUUUCACAUCUCGUGCUCUGAUUUUUUUUGGGUGAACAAAGGUGUGCAUGCAUUUUCUAAGCUAAAGGAAGGGAUUUCCUCAACAUUUGUUCUAACUUCUACAUUUGACUCUUGCAUCAUAAAGUUUCCUGUUUAGGUCAGUUUGCGUUCUGUGUUUUUCCAGCAGCUGACAUGGUUUAGGCGGUCUGUUUUGUGACACAUCAGGUGAGUAAAACCCUUCAUAUUGACCCGUUUCUCCUCUGAUCGCAGGUUAACACUAACAGCUUUGUUUAGCUCUGAGGCAGCAUCCGUUCUUGUGCUGAAAUCCCUGCUCUCCCAUCCCUGUGCAGCCCUGUGUGACACGCUUUUAAUCAUCAGCCAUCCAACACUUGUUUACAGCUUUGCUUCCAAGUCAUGUUCCGUUAAUACUGACUCCUUUUAAUAUUUAUCGUCGGUGUUAAUUGGUUUGAUGUCGCUACACUGGUGCUGCUGUCGUCUCGCUUGUUGAGCUGCCCUCACCGUUGUUUCAAAGUCCUUAUUAUCUCCAUAUUCAAGUCCUGGUCAUUAAAUUUUCACUUUCCAUUUUCAUCAGAAUGAAGCUGAUUUUCUAAAUCCAAGGGAACCGCAGAAGACUCAAACCCUGCAAGCAAUCACAGGGGAGGCGCAUCGUCUGUAUAAAUUAUCAGGAAUAUGAACCCGAUCGAAGAUGUUAAUUGCUCCAAUGGUUCGUUAUAUGAGGAGUUGCCAUGCAUUUCAUGCAGCGAUAAUAAAAAUGAAUUUCUGAACAAAGGGAUCUUAAAAUAAUAUCUAGUCUUUGGAGAAUACACACAUCAAAAGAAUAAUUCAGAAGCUUUGAAAUUUGUGGUCAGAAACAUUAAGCAGUAGCCCUGUGAAUAUUGUACUCUAUUCAAGUUUGUCAAAGAAAAAACAGUUAAUUAACAGUUAUUACAGCCCUUUUCAACCUAAAUUUGACUUUCAAAUAUUAGCUCUUAUAUAUAAACUUUGCUUCAGGCAUCUGCAAAUUAACUUAGUGUGUCGUCUCUAAUUAGGUCUCAUUGAACCCAUGGCAACCCACACACAAUAAUAUUAAUAAUUCAGCACUGUAAGAUGUAUUUAAGUGUAGUUAUUAGUUGGAGUUUUAUUCACAUUGUGUUAAAUUGAAACAAAUCACCUUUGCAGUUUAGUACCGCCAUAAUAGCAGGUUGGUAAUUAGCUCUGCGAUGAGGUGAUCAUAAAUAUUCAUUUUUAACAAGCGUUUGGUGUAAUUCAGGCUUGAAUUUUGAGUUGAGUCAGAUUAGGCGUGAUCUUUUUGGUGGAAUAAAGUUUUAAACAAUCAAUAAAUAUUUUUGGUAAUCUAAAGCACAUACAUCACUUUGUUGUGUAUGUUUAAAUAAAGUGUGGUGCAUAAAAACCUGCCUUUUAGUCCUCACACUCCUCUUUUCUCCACCUACUUGCCCUCCCAUCUUCAUCCUCCUGCCAUCUCUCUCUGUCAACCAUGAUUUUGCCUCCUGCCACUGAUCAAACGCACCUGCCAAGCCCUGCUAACGUUCUCGAGCAUGUUCGUUAAUUACCCACAAAGCCUUGCAGAUUUAUACUCCUAAUGGGAGAUUUGCCUCAAAUUGGGGGCAGGGUUGUGUUGCGUUACAAUGGUAUUUAUGUGUUCACUUGGGAAGGGAUCUCCAGGGAAUGUGUGCAUUAUAAAUGUUUUAAGACAAACAAACCUCUCAUUUUUCUCAUUUUAGUAGUAUGUUCUCUUUCUUGUAGUAUUUAGCAAAUGCUAAACAACCGCAUUUAUAAUGGCUCAGAGAUGCUGUUCAAAUCAAGGAGUCUGACCUUUGCAAGGAACUUUUAUCUGCCAGAUCAGAACAAUUAGGGCAGUUAUGAUUCCACUUGUAAGUAAUAUUUAUCCUAUAUAUUAAAGCUUGUCUGCUGCUUUUUGCUUUUAUCAUUUUCACACUGAGAAACGUCCAUAUUUACUUUCCAUUUUAGUUAAAUACUACAGCUGGUUUAAGGAAUGUGAUUAUUUUGGACUAGUCCAGCAUCAUUAAUUCUUAAAACAGGACAAAUAUAUGAGAUCUUGAUAUUGACAAUACAUUUAGACAAUGUGCUGUGGGCCAUUACAUGUUUUUUCUGUUAGGCUAAUAUUACAUUUCAGAUAGCGAUUUCUAUACCAACUCAGCUAUUUUACUUCUUUGUGUGAUUGAUGGUCAUAAAGACCAAAAACUGCAGGAACCAAGGAACAGAUGAAGUAGCAAAAGCCUCAAAUACAAAAGGGCAACUGGAAACGUAAAAAAUCAGGAGCACACAAGGAAACCAGGGAACCAAAUGACAUCAAGGUAACUAAAUCUUACAAUACGAAUGCCCAAAAUAAAAAAAAUGAGGCUAUAUAAAGGUUGAAUUUUGAGUGAAAAUUAGUUAACGGAAAGCAGGCCAAAGUGAGCUGAACCAGAGAGAACUGAGGGCAACAAUGAGAUGAGACGUGGCAAAACCGAACCCGUACUGAACACUGCGGACCUACAUGCAAUAAAACAAAGGAAAUUCGUGUAAAACUACAAAACAACACAAAAAUCCACAAAUAAUGAAAAAUAGCUGCAGUUGAGUUCUAAGGGCCUUGAAAUACUUGCUGUUUGACGAAGUGAACGCGUGUUUAAAGGGGCUGCCAUGCGAUACUUGCGUUGAUUUGAAGCAUCAUUUGUGCGCGUUCCACAAAAUGAACAUGCUGCGUCCAAAUGCUGCAAUAUACGAGUAACCAGUAGGUGGAGUUGACCAAACGAGCGAGACACACUCACCAUGGUGACUCCUUCUCUGGUUUUGAGGUCUUUCAUACCAUCUGGGGUACCGCUACUGUCUGUUUUUCUGUCGUGAACUCAACAUUAACCAGUUACUUUUCUAUUGAUGCCAUGUUUUUUUGGUUGUACCUACAAACCCGGCUCUCUGUUCAGUCUGAGUAGUCUAGUGUGCCACAUUCAUGAGUCAGCAAAGGACUGAACACACAUCCUUGAGGAACACCUGUGAUGAGGGUCUUUUGUAAAAGGCAUACUGCCUGUUGUCUUUCUAAGAGUUUAACAAGAAUGAAUCACCGUUUAUGUUUUCUGGUGGCAACUGCACACAGCUAUUUCAGUUUCAUAUUUCACUUUAUAGGAGCCUUUUUUGGAGAAUUGCUCUGGUUCAGAGAUCUGUGGCUGAAUGAGCCAAAUGUUAGAAAUUUUCAAUAAUUAGCAUCAUUGAGACAACAAAAGCUGGAUUCAAGAUGAGGAUGUGGGUGAGGUCACAUACAUAGAUCCAUGGUGCUCCAUCAACCGAAUGAAGGCGUACUUUUGAAUACAAAAGGAUUUUAAUGUCAAGAGUGUUUUUUCUUCCAUAACUUUGAAAUGUGAAAAUUAUGAGAAACACUUAUUUCUGUGUGGGAUUAAUAACUGCUGCAUUUAGUAAAGCUUCAAAUGAUGCACAAAUAACUCAAAUACAUAAUUCAGUUGAAGACAUAUGAAUCAUUUUUUACUUGCUGCUUUGAAGGGAAUGGGGUCAGUUAUACUGUUGUGUGUAGAUAUUUAUUUUUCUUAAAAAACAAACAAACAAAAAAGUCCAGCUGAGCCAUGACUCCAAGGCCUCCGUGUUAAGGGCUUCAUCUGGGUCUAGUUUGUGAGUGUAAGCAUCAAAUUUCAUUUUUGUCGGUUGAAAGCAGUCUCUGGGGAGAGUGUUUACUGCCUUUCCAUUUAAAAGAGAAACAAGUUUUCCUUAAGCCUGCUGCUUUCUGCUUGGUUAGUUCCCCCAAUGCUGCUCUAAUGGAAGGCAACCCACUCUGCCAGUUCUCAGCAGCAGUAACAGCGGUCUAGUGAAGGAAAAGAAGAACACGUUGUAGAUGUGCUUGAAUCCUCCUAAAAACAAACAAGCUCGACUUUCAGUUGAGAGAAUACUUGGUCACCAUGCAAUCAUUAGUGGGGGCAGUUUGAACUCGGGUCUUUAGUUGGUGACAUUUUUUAUUGACCUGUUUCAAGUACAAACAUUUAACGUUUUUUUACAGUGAAAAUUUGCACACACAGGAUAGCUAGAAAUUCUGCUUUAUGAAAUGUUAACAGUGAAGACACUUCUACAUUUGUUAUGUUUGUGUAAACAGCAUCCGAUUAAGGUCAAGACCCAGAGUGUAGACUAGUUUAAUAACAACGUCUUUAAAGCUGCAAUGGUAAAUUUGGAAAGAAAUGAGCUUUUCAAGCCUCUCAACAUUGUUCUAACACAGUUUAGCUAUAAAUAAUGCAAUGCAAUCCAAUGCAAUAGAAUUAUAUAAUAAUAUAAUAUAAUAAUGCAAUGCAAUAAAAAAAUGACAGUGGUUGUCUUGCCUCUGCCAAUAACACGUUUUGGACCAAAAGCGACCAUUGGACCAUAUGGUUGUCGGUCUCGAUGAACCGCUGCAGUUCUCUGGCUCCUCCACUCAUUACGCACACAUGUAUUUAGCAACAGAACACAACUGAUGUGAGAGGUUCGCGACUCAAAGAUAUCAGAGGAGAAACAGCCGGCUGCGACCACUUCAACUUUAAGACAAACUACCAGAGUCCCAAAAGGAAAAACACCGUUUGAAGUCACAGACAACAAAAGAUGUUUGGACAUAGAAAACGGCGACUGGUGUUUAGCUCAAUUCCUCCGAGAUCACGGGUUGCAGGGAUGAGCCCCACGGGGGGGAUACCCGAGGGGAGGGGUGAGUGUUCUGGGAUCGUGUUCAAAACCUAGUGUCACGGUCUGCCUUAAUCAUCCUUAAAGGAGACCUGGCAUUCUUCAGUUUUGUGUUACAGGUGGGCGUGUCAAUGAGCUCCAGCUGAUCCUGAUCUCGUUAAUGAGAGGGCCAGGGGAUUUAAGGAGCGGUGUGACACAACUCCAGUGCCGUUUGAUACUCUCACCAAGGUUACCUCACCUUGAAUCACCCACCUAUGCCUGGAGUUGUACUCGAGUUCACGUCGUUCAGGAUCCUCUGGCCUCCGCUCUCCACCACCCACCUGUCUUCCAACCAACAUCUUGGACACCUACUACCGUCUCCUGCUCAUCUCCACCUCAUCCAUUGGUUCAGCCGCCUCUUCACUACUAGACCUGACCCAGUUCAACAUCACCAGCCCCUGGUCUCUGACAAUACCGGUUCCUUCCCGUUCCCGUUUUGGAGCAGCGCCUUUAGUUCUACCUUUUCAUCAUUUAAAUAAACAAUUAUAUUAUUUUUACUUACCUUUGUUAUCUGCGUGUGGUUCUUCAUGUCCUGGGUGAAACUCCUUACCCACAACAUGACACCUAGCUUGUUUUCAGACUCGCUAUAGCAGCUUUAAUACAAAAUGAAAGGUUGACGAAGCAAAAGACAAAAAAUGUACUAAAGAAUGGAACACAAGAAAAUGACCAAUGCCAGUGUAGGGUGGGAGUGUGAUGUUAUUUAAAACAGAGAGCUGAUUGGCCAAUGAGGAACAGGUAAGGGAAGCUAAGCAGCUGAGGGAAGAACAAGGAGAAGUGGGUCAGGGAACUGAGACCACUGCAAAAACCUAAAAAACCUAAAAACGAUAAUGUUUUUCUUGACAACUAGACUAAUAUUGCUCUACACCCAAGGAUCAAAAACAGAUUCUUUAUAGAAAAAAACUCCCAACUUUUUUUUUCUCAAACUUUGUUUAGAAACAUGAAAGUGUGUGUGUGUGUUUGUGACCUCCACGAGGUCACACAUUUGCAUCUUUUUGGUUCAGUGAGCAUCAUUUGACUUGUUGUUUUGAACAUGGCCACUUUGCCAAAUGACUUCCUGUGCUAGACCUUGGCCGACACCACGUUGUGCCACCCUCAUUUUUAAGUGUUCUUUAAAGAUUAAAAUUCUUUCCUAAUUGAAACAAAAUGCAACGACAAGAAUAAAAUGAAUCAACUAUCAAAAUGACUCGAUUCUAAAUUUUUGAUUAAACAAUUAAUGUUAAUCUUUUGAAGAGAUCCCUCUAAAGCAGGGGGCUCCAGGUGCCCGCUGGCACCAUGGUGCCCCCAGGAACUAUUUAAGAUGCCCACAGGCAUUUUCUCUAAAUAACACAAGCCCUACAAUAAACAAAAAAAUCUGCUGUCAUCUUUUUAAUCGCAAAUGCCAUAAUAUAGAUAUAAAACUACAAUAAUCUUUAAAUAGUUUAUUACACUUUUUUGUCAGCAAUUGUUUUUUGUUCUUAGCAUAACAAAAAUCUGGAUUUACACAUUUCAUCAGACCAAAAAUGUAGAUUGAUGCUCUACUGUUCUGGUUUAUAACAGAUUAGGCUUGGACAGUGUUAACGCUUUAAAGAGAAGGUGAUUUAACAAACAACAUCUCAGAGACUUCUAUCUUUAAAUCACCCAAAGAUAAAAAAAAUCAAA